AGAGUUUGAUCCUGGCUCAGGGUGAACGCUGGCGGCGUGCUUAAGACAUGCAAGUCGAACGGACUUCCUUCGGGGAGUCAGUGGCGCACGGGUGAGUAACACGUAACUGACCUGCCCCAAAGUUGCGAAUAACCCUCCGAAAGGAGGGCUAAGACGCAAUGUGCUGUCCCCUCGUGUGGGGCCAGUAAAGGCUGUGACCGCUUUGGGAUGGGGUUGCGUUCCAUCAGCUUGUUGGUGAGGUAAAGGCUCACCAAGGCGACGACGGAUAGCCGGCCUGAGAGGGUGGCCGGCCACAGGGGCACUGAGACACGGGUCCCACUCCUACGGGAGGCAGCAGUUAGGAAUCUUCCACAAUGGGGGCAACCCUGAUGGAGCGACGCCGCGUGAGGGAUGAAGGUUUUCGGAUCGUAAACCUCUGAAUCAGAGACGAAAGGCCCCGACAAGGGGAGAUGACGGUAUCUGAGUAAUAGCACCGGCUAACUCCGUGCCAGCAGCCGCGGUAAUACGGAGGGUGCAAGCGUUACCCGGAAUCACUGGGCGUAAAGGGCGUGUAGGCGGGACGUUAAGUCUGGUUUUAAAGACCGUGGCUCAACCACGGGAGUGGACUGGAUACUGGCGCUCUAGACCUCUGGAGAGAGAACUGGAAUUCCUGGUGUAGCGGUGGAAUGCGUAGAUACCAGGAGGAACACCGGUGGCGAAGGCGGGUCUCUGGGCAACAACUGACGCUGAGGAGCGAAAGCGUGGGGAGCGAACAGGAUUAGAUACCCCCGUAGUCC
RNAcentral lists this ribosomal RNA (776 nucleotides) under uncultured Deinococcus sp. RNAcentral's name for it is "bacterial SSU rRNA". It matches the Rfam family "Bacterial small subunit ribosomal RNA", at positions 8 to 796 of the family's 1533-position model. Lineage: Bacteria; Thermotogati; Deinococcota; Deinococci; Deinococcales; Deinococcaceae. The record is from RNAcentral.